This 291-nucleotide ribosomal RNA is filed under the name uncultured bacterium. RNAcentral describes it as "partial 16S ribosomal RNA". It matches the Rfam family "Bacterial small subunit ribosomal RNA", at positions 336 to 641 of the family's 1533-position model. The record is from RNAcentral.
UUCCUACGGGGCGCAGCAGUGGGGAAUAUUGGGCAAUGGGCGCAAGCCUGACCCAGCAACGCCGCGUGAAGGAAGAAGGCUUUCGGGUUGUAAACUUCUUUUCUCAGGGACGAAGCAAGUGACGGUACCUGAGGAAUAAGCCACGGCUAACUACGUGCCAGCAGCCGCGGUAAUACGUAGGUGGCAAGCGUUAUCCGGAUUUACUGGGUGUAAAGGGCGUGUAGGCGGGGACGCAAGUCAGAUGUGAAAUCCACGGGCUCAACCCGUGAACGGCAUUUGAAACGGGUUCCC